UGUCUUCCAAAGCAGAAAUUUCAGAGUCAGAUGGGCUUUCCUAGGGCGAGCCGGAUGUGCUGACCCCUGCAAUUUCCCCAAAUAUGAGAAACUCGGCUGCAUGAUUGGUCGUAGUGGGAGGACUGCAUUUAUGCUCUUCCCCA
Molecule: small nuclear RNA, 143 nt
Filed under: Mesocricetus auratus (golden hamster)
Lineage: Eukaryota; Metazoa; Chordata; Mammalia; Rodentia; Cricetidae
Description: U1 spliceosomal RNA (ENSMAUG00000003709.1)
Source: RNAcentral